This 163-nucleotide non-coding RNA is filed under the name Apaloderma vittatum (bar-tailed trogon). Its description in RNAcentral is "Eukaryotic large subunit ribosomal RNA". It matches the Rfam family "Eukaryotic large subunit ribosomal RNA", at positions 2825 to 2984 of the family's 3401-position model. Lineage: Eukaryota; Metazoa; Chordata; Aves; Trogoniformes; Trogonidae. The record is from Rfam by way of RNAcentral.
GACAACUGGCUUGUGGUUGGCCAAGCAUUCAUAGCCACGUCGCUUUUUUGAUCCUUCAAUGUCAGUUUUUUUCUAUUGUUGUGAAGCAGAAUUCACCAAACAUUGGGUAGUUCACCUACUAACAGGGAACAUGAGCUGUGUUUAGACAGUUGUGAGACAGGUU